GAUGAAGAACGUAGCGAAAUGCGAUAAGUAAUGUGAAUUGCAGAAUUCAGUGAAUCAUCGAAUCUUUGAACGCACAUUGCGCCCGCCAGUAUUCUGGCGGGCAUGCCUGUUCGAGCGUCAUUUCAACCAUCAAGCCCCCGGCUUGUGUUGGGGACCUGCGGCUGCCGCAGGCCCUGAAAACCAGUGGCGGGCUCGCUGUCACACCGAGCGUAGUAGAUUUUCAUCUCGCUCAGGGCGUGCUGCGGGUUCCGGCCGUAAAAAGCCUUAUUUACCCAAGGUUGACCUCGGUUCAGGUAGGAAGACCCGCUGAACUUAAGCAUAUCAAUAAGCGGAGGA
Molecule: unclassified non-coding RNA, 336 nt
Filed under: soil metagenome
Description: partial contains 5.8S ribosomal RNA, internal transcribed spacer 2, and large subunit ribosomal RNA
Rfam family: 5.8S ribosomal RNA (bases 1-120)
Source: RNAcentral